GAUAGUGAAAACUAUGAAUGUGAUGCAUGUAAAAUUUAAAAAAAAAUUAAUAUCUAAAAAGACAAAUUAAUUUACAAUAUUUGACAAAUACAACUAGGCUAUGUUACAUUAAAAAUAUAAAUAUCUUGUAUAUUUAUAAUAUUGGCAGUGUGGUUCUUGCUGGCCCUGGGUGACGAGAGAUCCCGAAAUCAAGAGAUUGAACCAAAAAACAACUCUUUUUAUAAGAGUUGUUUUUUUAUCUUUUUUGCUUUUUUGCUUUUAGUGCAAAACAAGGUUAUCAAUAAUUGCUU
Molecule: non-coding RNA, 290 nt
Filed under: Mycoplasma capricolum subsp. capricolum
Lineage: Bacteria; Bacillati; Mycoplasmatota; Mollicutes; Mycoplasmatales; Mycoplasmataceae
Also listed under: 1 other name
Description: mcs4 RNA
Rfam family: Mycoplasma sRNA MCS4 (bases 116-238)
Source: RNAcentral